CUACGGGCCGCUGCAGUGGGGAAUAUUGCACAAUGGGGGAAACCCUGAUGCAGCAACGCCGCGUGGAGGAUGACGCAUUUCGGUGUGUAAACUCCUUUUAUAUAGGAAGAUAAUGACGGUACUAUAUGAAUAAGCACCGGCUAACUCCGUGCCAGCAGCCGCGGUAAUAGGGAGGGUGCAAGCGUUACUCGGAAUCACUGGGCGUAAAGCGCGCGCAGGCGGCCUUUUAAGUUGGAUGUGAAAGCCUAUGGCUUAACCAUAGAACUGCAUCCAAAACUAUCAGGCUAGAGUCUGGGAGGGGAAGAUGGAAUUAGUUGUGUAGGGGUAAAAUCCGUAGAGAUAACUAGGAAUACCAAAAGCGAAGGCGAUCUUCUGGAACAGUACUGACGCUGAGGCGCGAAAGCGUGGGGAGCAAACAGGAUUAGUACCCGUGUAGUC
Molecule: ribosomal RNA, 438 nt
Filed under: uncultured bacterium
Lineage: Bacteria
Description: partial 16S ribosomal RNA
Rfam family: Bacterial small subunit ribosomal RNA
Source: RNAcentral